AUACGUAGGUGACAAGCGUUAUCCGGAUUUACUGGGCGUAAAGGGCGUGUAGGCGGAGAUGCAAGUCAGGAGUGAAAUCUAGGGGCUCAACCCCUAAACUGCUUUUGAAACUGUAUCCCUUGAGUAUCGGAGAGGCAGGCGGAAUUCCUAGUGUAGCGGUGAAAUGCGUAGAUAUUUGGAGGAAAACCAGUGGCGAAGGCGGCCUGCUGGACGACAACUGACGCUGAGGCGCGAAAGCGUGGGGAGCAAACAGGAUUAGAUACCCUGGUAGGCCACGCUGUAAACGAUGAAUGCUAGGUGUGGGGGGACUGACCCCCUCCGUGCCGCAGUUAACACAAUAAGUAUUCCACCUGGGGAGUACGAUCGCAAGAUUGAAACUCAAAUGAAUUGGCGGGG
RNAcentral lists this ribosomal RNA (396 nucleotides) under uncultured bacterium. RNAcentral describes it as "partial 16S ribosomal RNA". It matches the Rfam family "Bacterial small subunit ribosomal RNA", at positions 523 to 918 of the family's 1533-position model. The record is from RNAcentral.